UAUGGAGCUACCUGUGCCCCUGCCCUGUUCUUGCCCUGGGUCAUCCUGCACUCAGUGUUGACUUUGUGGCAUCUACUGAAAUACUUUCAGAAGGCAGAUACAUGGUUGAUGGAGCUGGGGUUGCCUGUCUCACUGACAGAAUGGUCAGAAUUCAGCCACUUAGAACCAGCAACUAGCCUACUUUUACUUGCUUUAAAAGGAAUCAAGACUCUUUGGGCUUCCAUGGAAAUAAGAUUUGUACCAUAUGUCUAAGUUGUGCAUGCCAAGGAUAAUGGAAACAAGACUGGCGAGGGGAGGCAUGGGUAGGACUUAAAAAUUCCAGAGGUCUGCAAAGGUUUCUUCUCAGGAUAUAUGAAAAACCAUCACAUAUCAUGCUGAAAUCAAGAUAAUAAUACCCUAUACCUGCUUUAAGGCCCAGCAAUUCCACUUCUAUGUAUUUAUCCAGGAGAAAUAAAAACACGUCUACUAAAAGACUCAUACAAGAAUGUUUAUGGAAACCAUAUUCACAAUAACCCCAAGCUGGAAAUGACCCAUAUGUCCAUUAAUAAGAGAACAGAUCAACAAAAUGUGGUAUAUGCA
Molecule: long non-coding RNA, 579 nt
Filed under: Homo sapiens (human)
Lineage: Eukaryota; Metazoa; Chordata; Mammalia; Primates; Hominidae
Description: HSALNT0220436
Source: RNAcentral